CGGACGGGUGAGUAACGCGUGAGAAUUUGCCUUUAGGAGGGGGACAACAACUGGAAACGGUUGCUAAUACCCCAUAUGCUUUCGAGUGAAACGGAUUUUUCCGCCUAGAGAGAAGCUUGCGGCUGAUUAGCUUGUUGGUAAGGUAAUGGCUUACCAAGGCGACGAUCAGUAUCUGGUUUGAGAGGAUGAUCAGACACACUGGAACUGAGACACGGUCCAGACUCCUACGGGAGGCAGCAGUGGGGAAUUUUCCGCAAUGGGCGAAAGCCUGACGGAGCAAUCUCGCGUGAGGGAUGACGGCCUAUGGGUUGUAAACCUCUUUUUUCAGGGAGGAAUAAAUGACGUGUACCUGAAGAAUAAGCAUCGGCUAACUCCGUGCCAGCAGCCGCGGUAAGACGGAGGAUGCAAGUGUUAUCCGGAAUCACUGGGCGUAAAGCGUCUGUAGGUGGUUUGAUAAGUCAACUGUUAAAUCUUGAAGCUCAACUUCAAAAUCGCAGUCGAAACUAUUAGACUAGAGUAUAGUAGGGGUAAAGGGAAUUUCCAGUGGAGCGGUGAAAUGCGUAGAUAUUGGAAAGAACACCGAUGGCGAAGGCACUUUACUGGGCUAUUACUGACACUCAGAGACGAAAGCUAGGGUAGCAAAUGGGAUUAGAUACCCCAGUAGUC
This 666-nucleotide ribosomal RNA is filed under the name uncultured cyanobacterium. RNAcentral describes it as "bacterial SSU rRNA". It matches the Rfam family "Bacterial small subunit ribosomal RNA", at positions 99 to 795 of the family's 1533-position model. Lineage: Bacteria; Bacillati; Cyanobacteriota. The record is from RNAcentral.